GUAAAUCAAUAUAAAAAUUUCGAACUCGGCGGAUUGUCAGAAAGGACGACGUCUGUCUGUCUGUCUGCAUUGUAGUCAGUUAGUUAUGCUUCGACGAGGUCGGCCGGAUCGACGUUGGCGGGCUCGCUAUUAAAUAAAAAGCGAAUUCGCCAGUUAUCCGGUAAACGACGACGACGACGACACGUUACUUCGGGUACCUGGGAGAAGAGGUGACCACCACCUCUCUCCGCGGAAGGAAGCGGCGGCUAUUCGUUAGCCACCUCGUCCUCCGAGGUAUUGAAAGAUUUUCGCCCGACCGUCGAGGAAGCAGACGACGUGCCUCUCGCUCGACAUCCCAUAACGAAGGGCGAAAGGAGACUCGCGUCUUCGCCGCUAGCACACCGCGUCUGUACGUGAACAUGUGUAGUGCGUUAUAAAGCGGCGAAACUCGAACGUCUCCCUCUCCCUUUUUUUCAAUUUCAAACACUUGCCACCUUUCGAUACGUGAACGUCGCAAGAGGGACGCUUACGCGUCUCCUCGCGCCACGUCAAAAUCUUUAACGAUUACCCUGAACGGUGAAUCAC
Molecule: unclassified non-coding RNA, 564 nt
Filed under: Parechthistatus gibber
Lineage: Eukaryota; Metazoa; Arthropoda; Insecta; Coleoptera; Cerambycidae
Description: partial contains 18S rRNA, ITS1 and 5.8S rRNA
Source: RNAcentral